Molecule: ribosomal RNA, 468 nt
Filed under: uncultured bacterium
Lineage: Bacteria
Description: partial 16S ribosomal RNA
Rfam family: Bacterial small subunit ribosomal RNA
Source: RNAcentral
GACGAACGCUGGCGGCGUGCUUAACACAUGCAAGUCGAACGGAAAGGCCCUGCUUGUGUGGGGUGCUCGGGGGACGAGCGGGUGAGACACACGAGAGUAACCUGAGCUGGACGUUGGGAUAACGUCAGGAAACCGGGGCUAAUACGGGAUAUGAGCUCCAGCGCCGUGGGGGGGGGCGGAAAGUUUCGGCGGUUGGGGAUGGAGUCGCGGCUGAUCGGCUUGCUGGUGGGGUAGUGGCUUGCCAAGGCUGUGACGGAUAGCCGGCCGGAGAGGGUGGACGGCGACAUUGGGACUGAGAUACGGCCCAGCCGCCUACGGGAGGCAGCAGUGGGGAGCAUUACCCAAUGGGCGCGAGUCUGCUGCGGCGACGCCGCGUUUGGGAUGACGUCCUUCGGGUUGCAAACCGGUUUCCGCUGUGACGGAGCGUGAGUGACGGUAAUGGGAGAAGAAGCACCGGCUAACUACGUG